UACGGGGGGAGCAAGCGUUGUUCGGAUUUACUGGGCGUAAAGGGCGCGUAGGCGGCGUGACUAGUCACUUGUGAAAUCUCCGGGCUUAACUCGGAACGGUCAAGUGAUACUGUCGUGCUAGAGUACAGAAGGGGCAACUGGAAUUCUCGGUGUAGCGGUGAAAUGCGUAGAUAUCGUGAGGAAGACCAGUUGCGAAGGCGGAUCUCUGGGCAGUUCCUGACACUGAGGCACGAAGGCCAGGGGAGCAAACGGG
Molecule: ribosomal RNA, 253 nt
Filed under: uncultured prokaryote
Description: partial 16S ribosomal RNA
Rfam family: Bacterial small subunit ribosomal RNA
Source: RNAcentral